This 486-nucleotide ribosomal RNA is filed under the name uncultured bacterium. RNAcentral's name for it is "partial 16S ribosomal RNA". It matches the Rfam family "Bacterial small subunit ribosomal RNA", at positions 28 to 507 of the family's 1533-position model. The record is from RNAcentral.
GAUGAACGCUGGCGGCGUGCUUAACACAUGCAAGUCGAACGGGAUCCAGGGAGUGCUUGCACUUUUUGGUGAGAGUGGCGAACGGGUGAGUAACACGUGAGUAACCUGUCCUUUUCUUUGGGAUAAGCUCCUGAAAGGGUGUUUAAUACCUUAUGUUCUGUCUGCCUCGCAUGGGGUGGGUGGGAAAGAUUUGUUUCGGUAAGGGGUGGGCUCGCGGUCUAUCAGCUUGUUGGUGGGGUGAUGGCUUACCAAGGCUUUGACGGGUAGCCGGCCUGAGAGGGUGGUCGGUCACAUUGGGACUGGGAUACGGCCCAGACUCCUGCGGGAGGCAGCAGUGGGGGAUAUUGCACAAUGGGCGCAAGCCUGAUGCAGCGACGCCGCGUGGGGGAUGAAGGCCUUCGGGUUGUAAACUUCUUUUGCUCUGAACAAGGCGCAUCUUUGGGGUGUGUUGAGUGUAGGGGUUGAUUAGCGCCGGCUAACUACGUG